GCGGGGUUGGUAUAGUGGUCGUGCCCCGGCUUCCCAAGCCGGUGACACGGGUUCAAUUCCCGUACCCCGCUCCA
This 74-nucleotide transfer RNA is filed under the name Acidobacteriaceae bacterium. RNAcentral's name for it is "tRNA-Gly". It matches the Rfam family "tRNA". From Rfam's summary of the family: Transfer RNA (tRNA) molecules are approximately 80 nucleotides in length. Their secondary structure includes four short double-helical elements and three loops (D, anti-codon, and T loops). The record is from RNAcentral. RNAcentral also lists the same sequence under 4 other names. Lineage: Bacteria; Pseudomonadati; Acidobacteriota; Terriglobia; Terriglobales; Acidobacteriaceae.